RNAcentral lists this ribosomal RNA (624 nucleotides) under Triticum aestivum (bread wheat). Its description in RNAcentral is "partial small subunit ribosomal RNA". The record is from RNAcentral. Lineage: Eukaryota; Viridiplantae; Streptophyta; Magnoliopsida; Poales; Poaceae.
AUGUACCUAGGGCCCGGCUGGGAGCAUUUCGCCCGCGCCCAGGAGCUACAGCUCGGGUACUUCCUUGUCUUCUGCUACGACGGCGACGACAUGUUCACCAUGAAGAUGUUCGACAACACCAUGUGCCGCAUGUACUACCAGCACGGCGACGAUGCCAAUAAGCUCUCUGCCUCUCUUCUUCCUGUCCUUUUGGCUUCCUCUACCUACACGACGGCAACACCAUGUUCACACUUUGUUGCAUUUUGGCCAGGCAAUGGGAGCAGCAGCGGGGAUGACGAGGAGCAGAGCGUGGAUGAAGAGGAGCAGCCUAUUCUGGCUGACGAUGACCAUGCUAUGAUGGUGGCUGACGACGACCCUACUAUGGUGGUGGCGGAUGACGACCUUGCUAUGGUGGUGGCGGACGACGACCUUGCUAUGGUGGUGGCGGACGACGACCUUGCUAUGGUGGCGGCGGACGACGACCUUGCUAUGGUGGUGGCGGAUGACGACCUCGCGAUGGUGGUGGCGCCUGCAAUCCCACAGCUUGGCGAUAGGACCAUGCCAAUUGUGGUAGAGGAGUACGUCUGCGUUGGGAUUCGCCACUCUGAGCGCAUCAGGUUGAUGAAGGAGAAGAAGGAGGAGUGA